RNAcentral lists this transfer RNA (61 nucleotides) under Marmota marmota marmota (Alpine marmot). It matches the Rfam family "tRNA", at positions 5 to 66 of the family's 71-position model. From Rfam's summary of the family: Transfer RNA (tRNA) molecules are approximately 80 nucleotides in length. Their secondary structure includes four short double-helical elements and three loops (D, anti-codon, and T loops). Lineage: Eukaryota; Metazoa; Chordata; Mammalia; Rodentia; Sciuridae. RNAcentral also lists the same sequence under 4 other names. The record is from Rfam by way of RNAcentral.
GUAUAGCUCAGUGGAAGAGUGCUUGCCUAGCAUGCAAGGGCCUUGGGUUCAUCCCCAGUAC